AGCAGCCGCGGUAAUUCCAGCUCCAAUAGCGUAUAUUAAAAGUUGUUGCAGUUAAAAAAGCUCGUAGUUGAAUUUCGGGAUCAAUUUAUUGGUCGUGCUAUUGUACGUACUGGUAUUAUUGAUUUCUACCUUCUGACGAACCAUGAUGUCAUUAAUUUGGUGUCUUGGGGAAUCAGGACUGUUACUUUGAAAAAAAUUAGAAGUGUUUAAAGCAGGCUCACGCUUGAAUACAUUAGCAUGGAAUAACGAAAUAGGACGUUUGAUUCUAUUUUGUUGGUUUCUAGGAUCGACGUAAUGAUUAAUAGGGAUAGUUGGGGGCAUUAGUAUUCAAUUGUCAGAGGUGAAAUUCUUGGAUUUAUUGAAGACUAACUACUGCGAAAGCAUUUGCCAAGGAUGUUUUCAUUAAUCAAGAACGAAAGUUAGGGAUCGAAGACGAUCAGAUACCGUCGUAGUCUUAACCAUAAACUAUGCCGACUAGGGAUCGGAUGAUGUUAAUUUUUUAAUGUACUCAUUCGGCGCCUUACGGGAAACCU
Molecule: ribosomal RNA, 533 nt
Filed under: uncultured Glomus
Lineage: Eukaryota; Fungi; Glomeromycota; Glomeromycetes; Glomerales; Glomeraceae
Description: SSU rRNA
Rfam family: Eukaryotic small subunit ribosomal RNA
Source: RNAcentral